CGGAGGGUGCAAGCGUUGUCCGGAUUUAUUGGGUUUAAAGGGUGCGUAGGCGGCCCGUUAAGUCAGUGGUGAAAGCCUCCAGCUCAACUGGAGAACUGCCAUUGAUACUGACGGGCUUGAAUACAGACGAGGUUGGCGGAAUUGAUUGCGUAGCGGUGAAAUGCAUAGAUACAAUCAAGAACUCCGAUUGCGUAGGCAGCUAACUAGGCUGUAACUGACGCUGAGGCACGAAAGCGUGGGGGAGCGAACAGGAUUAGAUACCCUGGUAGUCCACGCCGUAAACGAUGACUUACUCGAUGUUGGCGAUAAACUGUCAGCGUCUUAGCGAAAGCGUUAAGUAAUCCACCUGGGGAUACGCCCGCAAGGGUG
Molecule: ribosomal RNA, 369 nt
Filed under: uncultured organism
Description: bacterial SSU rRNA
Rfam family: Bacterial small subunit ribosomal RNA
Source: RNAcentral